GAUGAACGCUGGCGGCGUGCCUAAUACAUGCAAGUCGAGCGAACGGACGAGAAGCUUGCUUCUCUGAUGUUAGCGGCGGACGGGUGAGUAACACGUGGAUAACCUACCUAUAAGACUGGGAUAACUUCGGGAAACCGUAGCUAAUACCGGAUAAUAUUUUGAACCGCAUGGUUCAAAGGUGAAAGACGGUCUUGCUGUCACUUAUAGAUGGAUCCGCGCUGCAUUAGCUAGUUGGUAAGGUAACGGCUUACCAAGGCAACGAUGCAUAGCCGACCUGAGAGGGUGAUCGGCCGCACUGGAACUGAGACACGGUCCAGAAUCCUACGGGAGGCAGCAGUAGGGAAUCUUCCGCAAUGGGCGAAAGCCUGACGGAGCAACGCCGCGAGAGUGAUGAAGGUCUUCGGAUCGUAAAACUCUGUUAUUAGGGAAGAACAUAUGUGUAAGUAACUGUGCACAUCUUGACGGUACCUAAUCAGAAAGCCACGGCUAACUACGU
Molecule: ribosomal RNA, 496 nt
Filed under: uncultured bacterium
Lineage: Bacteria
Description: partial 16S ribosomal RNA
Rfam family: Bacterial small subunit ribosomal RNA
Source: RNAcentral